CAGGCUUAACACAUGCAAGUCGAGGGGCAGCACAGGUAGCAAUACCGGGUGGCGACCGGCGCACGGGUGAGUAACGCGUAUGCAACUUGCCUAUCAGAGGGGGAUAACCCGGCGAAAGUCGGACUAAUACCGCAUGAAGCAGGGAUCCCGCAUGGGAAUAUUUGCUAAAGAUUCAUCGCUGAUAGAUAGGCAUGCGUUCCAUUAGGCAGUUGGCGGGGUAACGGCCCACCAAACCGACGAUGGAUAGGGGUUCUGAGAGGAAGGUCCCCCACAUUGGUACUGAGACACGGACCAAACUCCUACGGGAGGCAGCAGUGAGGAAUAUUGGUCAAUGGCCGAGAGGCUGAACCAGCCAAGUCGCGUGAGGGAUGAAGGUUCUAUGGAUCGUAAACCUCUUUUAUAAGGGAAUAAAGUGCGGGACGUGUCCCGUUUUGUAUGUACCUUAUGAAUAAGGAUCGGCUAACUCCGUGCCAGCAGCCGCGGUAAUACGGAGGAUCCGAGCGUUAUCCGGAUUUAUUGGGUUUAAAGGGUGCGUAGGCGGCCUUUUAAGUCAGCGGUGAAAGUCUGUGGCUCAACCAUAGAAUUGCCGUUGAAACUGGGGGGCUUGAGUAUGUUUGAGGCAGGCGGAAUGCGUGGUGUAGCGGUGAAAUGCAUAGAUAUCACGCAGAACCCCGAUUGCGAAGGCAGCCUGCCAAGCCAUUACUGACGCUGAUGCACGAAAGCGUGGGGAUCAAACAGGAUUAGAUACCCUGGUAGUCCACGCAGUAAACGAUGAUCACUAGCUGUUUGCGAUACACUGUAAGCGGCACAGCGAAAGCGUUAAGUGAUCCACCUGGGGAGUACGCCGGCAACGGUGAAACUCAAAGGAAUUGACGGGGGCCCGCACAAGCGGAGGAACAUGUGGUUUAAUUCGAUGAUACGCGAGGAACCUUACCCGGGUUUGAACGCAUUCGGACCGAGGUGGAAACACCUUUUCUAGCAAUAGCCGUUUGCGAGGUGCUGCAUGGUUGUCGUCAGCUCGUGCCGUGAGGUGUCGGCUUAAGUGCCAUAACGAGCGCAACCCUUGCCACUAGUUACUAACAGGUAAAGCUGAGGACUCUGGUGGGACUGCCAGCGUAAGCUGCGAGGAAGGCGGGGAUGACGUCAAAUCAGCACGGCCCUUACGUCCGGGGCGACACACGUGUUACAAUGGCGUGGACAAAGGGAGGCCACCUGGCGACAGGGAGCGAAUCCCCAAACCACGUCUCAGUUCGGAUCGGAGUCUGCAACCCGACUCCGUGAAGCUGGAUUCGCUAGUAAUCGCGCAUCAGCCAUGGCGCGGUGAAUACGUUCCCGGGCCUUGUACACACCGCCCGUCAAGCCAUGGGAGCCGGGGGUACCUGAAGUCCGUAACCGAAAGGAUCGGCCUAGGGUAAAACUGGUGACUGGGGCUAAGUCAUAACA
RNAcentral lists this ribosomal RNA (1443 nucleotides) under uncultured organism. Its description in RNAcentral is "16S ribosomal RNA". It matches the Rfam family "Bacterial small subunit ribosomal RNA". The record is from RNAcentral.